GACGAACGCUGGCGGCGUGCUUAACACAUGCAAGUCGAACGGAAAGGCCCUGCUUUUGUGGGGUGCUCGAGUGGCGAACGGGGGAGUAACACGUGAGUAACCUGCCCUUGACUUUGGGAUAACUUCAGGAAACUGGGGCUAAUACCGGAUAGCAGCUCCUGCACCGUGGUGGGGGUGGGAAAGUUGCGGCGGUUGGGGAUGGACUCGCGGCUUAUCAGCUUGUUGGUUGGGUAGUGGCUUACCAAGGCAUGGACGGAUAGCCGGCCGGAGAGGGUGGACGGGCUCAAUGGGACUGAGAUACGGACCAGACUCCUACGGGAGGCAGCAGUGGGGAAUAUUGCACAAUGGGAGGAAGCCUGAGGCAGCAGCGCCGCGUGCGGGAUGACGGCCUGCUGGUUGUAAACCGCUUUCGCCUGUGACGAAGCGUGAGUGACGGUAAUGGGUAAAGAAGCACCGGCUAACUACGUG
This 468-nucleotide ribosomal RNA is filed under the name uncultured bacterium. RNAcentral's name for it is "partial 16S ribosomal RNA". It matches the Rfam family "Bacterial small subunit ribosomal RNA", at positions 28 to 507 of the family's 1533-position model. The record is from RNAcentral.